CAACAAAUUGACGUUCCGACUGCUUUGACUGGCUGGUUGGCUGUACUCAACGGCAUAGUCAACGACUGGUGUAGAUACAAGCAGUCAGGCAGUGCCAGUAAAGCAAGUAGAUUUCGCUCAUUCAUUUACAAAAACGGUUGGUUUGUGGUGUGAGAAAUGGUAGACAUUUGAGGGGUAUUAUGUGAAUUUUAGAGGGGUAUUGGAUUGCAGUGGUGGGGCAAGCGGUAGCAGUGUGAGUUAACGAACAAAUGUGUGAGCCAGCGAGCAGGCUGGUUAAUAUUAAUAACAACAACAAUAAUAACUGCAAUAACAACAGUUUAACAUAAAUAACAACAAUAGCAACAAAUAUACCAAAGUAGCAACGCAUACAGCUGUCAUAUAAUCAGCCGCCACAGUACAGUACUGUAGUCUCAGCAACGAGCUGACUCAAGCAAAGGUAGCAACAAUAAAAACCACAAGCGCAUUUCGCACGAAGCUCACAACUACCUAUCUACAUAUGUACAUGUAUAGCAUAUAUACAUAUCUACAUGUACUAUAUAGAAUCGACUCAGACGAAGCGUUCGACGACCGCCUAUCUACCCUCACGCGGCAAAUGUCCCACAACGUCGUGCAAAUAACGCUCUGUACUGAAAACUCAGCAACCAGCUGCCGACUCAUUGACAAAACGAACGAAUAAAUACCACAUACAUGUAUGUUUGUAUGUAGCUAUGCUCACGAAUGGGUGUCGUUUUGGCUCUGCAUGAGAAAAAUAUAUAUCUGUACGCCGUUGCUCUUGCAGUGCGUUGCGCGUUCGUCGUUAGCUGUUGACGUUUAUCACACCGGUGGCGUGUACAUUAGGCGUUCAUUUUCGUGCGAAAAUCGGCCAUUGCACUGUGUGUCGUUCAUAUGAAAUGCUUGGAUAAGUUUUUAUGACAGCGUUCCAAUAUCCUGACACGUUAGUGUAAAAUCGUUUGUUGAGUCGCCGAUAUAUUUUAGGCAACCAAGUAAACAACCAGACAGUCGACUACCAGAUAGGCAAGUAGCCAGUUAGUCAGCUAUCGCGGGAAAAUCUCUAGUUAGCGCAGCAAUCAUGUUCAUAUGUACUAUAACAUACAGUACUAGAAGUUGUUGGGCUAUUCUUGGUUAUAUUAAUGGUACCAGUGCUAACGGAAAUCGAUUAAAUUUGUGCAAAAUAUCUAUGUACAUACAUACAUACAAAUGUACAUCUGUAUGUGAGUCAAUAUUCAGGAGUGCAAACCUUUACGGAAUGUAUGAUACUAGUUUUUCGUAAAUAAAUUGUUAUGGUUUUGAUAUAAUUUGUUUAUACCACAGGUAUUUAUAAUACCUACCAUAUAUAAUAUUUUUGUAUAUGUACAUAUUUUAGUUUAUUAUACAAGAUUUUCUUCCUAUUGGAGAUGCCCUCAAUAUGCUAUCCGAAAUAUGGAUAUGAAUACAAAAAAAUGUAAGUUCUCUAGUGUGACUGCUUUUCUUUAUGCUAUUCGUCAAAUGGAUAUGGUUGAAAAUAAAAAAUUGAAAUGCUCUCAGAGCGACUGCUAGAUUUUAUUGCAAGUUUUUUGUGUUAAAAUAAGUAUACUCCAAAGUGACAAACCUGCUGAAAUAUCUCUGCUCUUAGAAAAAAAAAACUUUUAUUAGCAGUUUUCGAUUUUGCUGCUAUAAUAUUAGAAAAAAAAACAUAGUACUGUAAAUUUGGAAUAUGCUUCAGACUGAUUGUUCUUAACCCAUAAUUUCCGGUUCCACGUUAUCAGAAUUGAUAACAUACAUAUGUACAUAGUUACAUAUUAUUUAAUGUUUCUUUACAACUUUUUGGGACUUAAAAAAUAUACAUACUAUGUACAUACAUAUACACAUGUAACAAUAAAUAUUUAUGACACAAUUACUUCGUAUUUAUUUAUACGAUUGAUCACUAAAUAAAUAAAUACAGCAAGUCAAAUAUCCAUACAAACUAGAAUAUACACGUUAUUUAGUAUUCUAUUGAAUGUAGGUCAAGGUGAUAUAUUAGCAUCAAUUAACACUAAGCCCAUAUGUGGUGGCCAUGCAAGGUAUUACGUACGCACAUGUGGCGCAAACGCCAAUUCAAAUAUUUAAAUUCAUAGGUACGUAGAUUUACAACACAAACGAUGCCAAUCGAAAUUGCAUACGCACAUAAGUAUGUACCGACAACUGCUCUAUUGCCCUUUGACCGGACUGCAAUUGUAAGAUGCACAUUCGAACUAGCUUGCCUGGCGAACUAGCCAUUUGGCGGAGUUAACAAUGAAGUGCGUAUUGUCAUGAAGUACUACUCCUACAUACCACAUUUCCAAACCCAGGACAGCAGUUGGUUGUUGUGUAUGGCUAAAAAUUUGCGCGCGCAAAGUAUUUCGUAUGGAAUUGAAAUAUAGCCGUUAUAGCAUGUUGUGUUACAGUGGCGUCCAUAUUUUCGUCCAUAUGGAUUAGUGUAAAUUUUGUCGCAACUCAGCAUAAAAUUACAUACGCAUGGGAUGGUAGUUGUUAGACACGACUGUAGUAGCGUUCAAUGGCGAGCGUACGCAGCGCUACUAGUCGACGUUGCUUUUGCUGCCACUGUCACUACACUAUGGGUGAGUACUUUUGUUUUCAACAGCUCAAAUGUACAUAUGAAUGUGUGUGUGUGUGAAUUGUGCGAUUCAGUUCCAUAUCAGUGGAUUUGUGCGUUUGCAUAAAAGCCACAAAAGUAGCAACGCCACUAGAGCAAGAGCGCCAAGUUUGUGUUAUCGAGGGAGGCUUAGUGGCUCAGCAUAGCAGUUGUAAUACAUAUUGGCAUUCGUAGGGAAAUCAGCGCAGAGCUUUGUCUCAGAUUUGCUUUCACCCUUUCGAUAUGAAUUCACAAUAAACACAUUUGUAUGUAAAUGUUUUAAGAUUUUCUGCUUAUGCGCGCGCCCAUCACUUCUUGCGCUUACUGGUGUAUGUGUGUGUUUUUUGGUGUAGUGACGCGCGGUUCAAAGCAUACCAUCGGACGCCGCGCGCGCAUAAAUGCCGUGAAGGCGGCAGCAACUCAUAAAAAUGUCGCUACUUCCUAGUGAUGUUUGAUUUGGCGUACAACGCUGCGAAACGUUGUUUGUGCAAAUUUUCAGUCAAUAAAUUAUUAAAUUUAAAUAUUAUGUAUGUAGCUAAAAGCGGCAUGAGAAAUGUGGUAUCUCUAUACAUAGCCCGCGCGCGCCCUCUUUACGUUUAUUAAAUAAUCAUGUUGGUUACUCGCCACUCAACUCUACACAUAAACAUACUACAUAUAACCCUGCUAACCAGAAUACCGAUAUUGGCCUCCUUCCCUGAGUUUCAUUUGCUGUGCUGCAAAGUGGCGCCCUCGUUGAUAGGCAAACAUUGACGUUGCCGUUGACGCAGCCGUUUACGUUAACGUACGCUAACGCUGCCGCUACCGGUGCGAACAAUCAACGCUCUACAUUGCUUUCGCCCGCGCUGUCGUCG
Molecule: non-coding RNA, 3441 nt
Organism: Bactrocera oleae (olive fruit fly)
Lineage: Eukaryota; Metazoa; Arthropoda; Insecta; Diptera; Tephritidae
Source: RefSeq, a predicted model, not a curated record